This 745-nucleotide long non-coding RNA is filed under the name Mytilus galloprovincialis (Mediterranean mussel). The record is from RNAcentral. Lineage: Eukaryota; Metazoa; Mollusca; Bivalvia; Mytilida; Mytilidae.
UACUGUGAAAGUACUUUAAUUCGUGGGUAUCAAUUUUCGUGGAUUGAGCAAUAUUUACAUGUUCGUGGGUUUUUAAAUUCGUGGAUUUUAUUUUUCUAAAAAAAAAAUGAAAAAUUAAAGCCUUUAGAAACGAAGGUUACAAAUAGUCUGGAUUGAAGGAAAUUGCAAAGUAAACAUUGACCCGUGUAAAUCGUAGUGAUAACUUAUUAACCCAUGAUAAAGUGAUCAACAGAUUAAAAACCAUCAAAGGUGUUAAUUAGGCCAUAAACAUGUCACCUAUUGAAAAUAGUAACAUAAACAAAUGCUAUUAACGUAUCUUGAAUUGUCAAAUAAUUCUUAUCAAAAUCAAGCCCAGCAUGAAAUUAUUAUUUUCCAUAUGUACGAGAACUAUGAGGAUAUAAAAUGAACACUUUAUCAUACUAGCAUAUCAAUACCGGAAAUCUGACUUUCAUCGAUCAAAAAUAUUUUUAUGAGAAUUAAAGGAUCAAAAGUUGUACAGUUUAGGUUAUUAAAGAUGAAAUGGGUAUAAUCCUGCAUGCGGUUGUAGUUCUGUGACUGCUAUUAAAGUAUUCUCAGAUUUGGCGUUAUUCAAUAUAUUCACUAGAUCAUAUCAGUGGUCAAACCUACCGAUGGGGAUCUUUCCAUGUCUUGAUUUGGACAAUGGUUGUUUUAUUUCGUUGGACACUUAAAUUCGUGGAUAAAGUCAUCCACGAAAACCACGAAAAUUGGUACCCACGAAUAAAAG